Molecule: ribosomal RNA, 447 nt
Filed under: uncultured bacterium
Lineage: Bacteria
Description: bacterial SSU rRNA
Rfam family: Bacterial small subunit ribosomal RNA
Source: RNAcentral
CUACGGGAGGCAGCAGUCGAGAAUCUUUGGCAAUGGGCGAAAGCCUGACCAAGCGAUGCCGCGUGCGGGAUGAAGGCCUUCGGGUUGUAAACCGCUGUCAGAGGGGAUGAAACCUUCGGGUUGACAGAGCCUCAGAGGAAGCACGGGCUAAGUACGUGCCAGCAGCCGCGGUAACACGUACUGUGCGAACGUUAUUCGGAAUCACUGGGCUUAAAGGGUGCGUAGGCGGCCUAUCAAGUCAGGUGUGAAAUCCCACGGCUCAACCGUGGAACUGCGCUUGAAACUGAUAGGCUUGAGUGGAACAGGGGUGUGUGGAACUUCUAGUGGAGCGGUGAAAUGUGUUGAUAUUAGAAGGAACACCGGUGGCGAAAGCGACACACUGGGUUCUCACUGACGCUGAGGCACGAAAGCCAGGGUAGCGAACGGGAUUAGAAACCCGAGUAGUCC